Ornithodoros turicata is the source of this 406-nucleotide long non-coding RNA. RefSeq lists it as uncharacterized. The record is from RefSeq and is a predicted model, not a curated record. NCBI's taxonomy places the organism in Eukaryota, Metazoa, Arthropoda, Arachnida, Ixodida, Argasidae. The transcript is spliced from 4 exons.
ACACACAUCUGAAAUAUCCUCUCUAUACAGGAAAGUUUCAACGAUCUCUUCGUGGACACAAUGACGCCUCUACGUUUCGCUGUUGUCUUCGUCCUCCUCUUUGGUGUAUUUGUCGCCAGUGAAGCGGCACCUGAAGGACACGAGCUUGAACGUCGUCAACUUGACGUCGACCUCUGCGUUUGUGCUCUGAAUAUUAUUUGCCCUGAAAACGGCAAAUGCACAAAGAAAAGCUUGUGUAGGGAAUGCGCCAUUAUUUCUUGAUGAACAACAUGGCUGACCGGCAACCCUUAACAACGAAACGAUCAAUUGCACGUAUAUGAAAUAAGAGACCUUGGUAUUCUGUUUUACCAACAUGAUCAUGGGUGGCGGGAACUUUUGAGGGCAAUAAAUUGUACUAAGCAGCAGA